UCCAGACUCCUACGGGAGGCAGCAGUGGGGAAUAUUGGGCAAUGGAGGCAACUCUUACCCAGCAAUGCCGCGUGAAUGAAGAAGGUCUUCGGAUUGUAAAGUUCUUUAAUUGGGGACGAAAAAAAUGACGGUACCCAAGGAAUAAGCCCCGGCUAACUACGUGCCAGCAGCCGCGGUAAUACGUAGGGGGCAAGCGUUAUCCGGAUUUACUGGGUGUAAAGGGAGCGUAGACGGCAUGGCAAGUCAGAUGUGAAAGCCCGGGGCUCAACCCCGGGACUGCAUUUGAAACUGUCAGGCUGGAGUGCAGGAGAGGUAAGUGGAAUUCCUAGUGUAGCGGUGAAAUGCGUAGAUAUUAGGAGGAACACCAGUGGCGAAGGCGGCUUACUGGACUGUAACUGACGUUGAGGCUCGAAAGCGUGGGGAGCAAACAGGAUUAGAUACCCCCGUAC
RNAcentral lists this ribosomal RNA (449 nucleotides) under uncultured bacterium. Its description in RNAcentral is "bacterial SSU rRNA". It matches the Rfam family "Bacterial small subunit ribosomal RNA", at positions 330 to 793 of the family's 1533-position model. The record is from RNAcentral.